Leptinotarsa decemlineata (Colorado potato beetle) is the source of this 432-nucleotide long non-coding RNA. The record is from RefSeq and is a predicted model, not a curated record. NCBI's taxonomy places the organism in Eukaryota, Metazoa, Arthropoda, Insecta, Coleoptera, Chrysomelidae.
CGACCGGUAAGACGAAAACGUGAAAUUUUAUUUCACUCUUCGCGACUGUAGUUAUUUUUUUAAUUUCGUUUUCGAACAGUUCAUAGAAGAAUGAUGGAAAAAAGUUCACCAUAGUCGACUAAUAGUCCAAUAUCCAGGGAUGUUCGAAGAAUGUUUUGGUAACGGUCCGUUCGUAUUCAGACUGAACGAAAAUGGAUGUGGACCUCAACUACUCACUCAGGUUUGCUUGGAGAGAGGUUGGAGAGAAUACAAUUGUGAGAAUGACAAUUGGAACCUUUGGUGGAGAACUUCCGGUUUUCCCGUGAGUCAUCAUAGGAGUCUUUACGCUUGGCAGUAUUUGAAUCAUAUCCCGAAGGGAGCUGCAAUAUGCAGAAAAGACAACCUUGUUCGAUAUCUGAGAUGUAUGCGGAAAGUAUACGGUUCCAUUUAUGA